AAUUAUGACAGACAUGCGCCACCAUGCCCAGGUAUUUCAGGACAGCCAGGAGUGGGUGCACAUCCGCUGAGAAACUGAGGAAAAGCAUCUGUGCUGAGCUCUGGCGCCACCAGAGGGCGCGCGAACCCACCCCUGACCAACUUCCCUGUGAGGUGCCGGAAGCAGUGAGGAGCUUUGACUUCCUCGGGGCAGCAGGAGGGUCUUGUCAACUAAGUCUUGUUCAUUGAAACACGUGGGCUUGGAGGCUCUGUGUCAGUUUCCAUUUCCAGAAUGAUGGCGCUGAACACUUCAUCCUGACUUUACGUGGUGCAGCGGGACGGCCACCAGAGGGCGCGUGUCCGCUGCCAGUGUCUUGAGUGCGAGGGCCGCCAACAGAGGGCACGAGAGCCCAGUUUUUCUCAUCCCGACCGAGGCCACAGCUUCCCACCCAUUUCCUCCGUGUAGGCCCCUGUGAGGGCAGGAGGGGGGUUCUCCUCAGCACAGACCUGGGGACACCCCUCACUUUGGGACACCUUGAGCCCACAUCCAUGCUUCGUAGGUGGAACAGACUUGCCUUUUCACAGAUGAGACUAUGGAGUUUUGAGUUAAUCUUGAAAUAAGACUUGUGGAACUGUUGGGAAGGCAUGAUUGGUUUUGAAAUAGGAGGACAUAAGGUUUGAGGGGUCAAAGUUAAUCAUAGGAAUGUAGUUAAACAUAAAAAUUUUGCAAACCCGUUUUUA
This is a non-coding RNA of Saimiri boliviensis boliviensis (Bolivian squirrel monkey), 719 nucleotides long. Lineage: Eukaryota; Metazoa; Chordata; Mammalia; Primates; Cebidae. The record is from RefSeq and is a predicted model, not a curated record.